This is a long non-coding RNA of Phymastichus coffea, 1369 nucleotides long. RefSeq lists it as uncharacterized. The record is from RefSeq and is a predicted model, not a curated record. The transcript has 2 exons. Lineage: Eukaryota; Metazoa; Arthropoda; Insecta; Hymenoptera; Eulophidae.
UCGCUACAGUUGCGCAAGAAAAGCGUCUGCGUGAGGCGAUUUGGCUGUGAUUUGGAUGCAAUAUGUUCAAUCAUAAAGUCACUUCCGCGCAUCGACUGCUUUCUCGCCAGUUGCUCGGCUUUACGAGUGCAAGCAGCAGCAUUUUCUUCCACGGACUAACAGAUUAAAAUUUUAGCUAGAAAUCCACCUCCUGGAGGCAAAUUGGGUAUGCCCUGUUCCACAAGCCUCUGGAUAAGUGUCAUGAAUUCAAAGUCCUUUUUCUCUUCUUCUUCUGAAACUAUAUCUGUUGAAAAUAAAGAAGAACAAUUGUUGUUAAUAUAAAAAUGUAUUAAUUUGUAACUCAAUGUGCAUAUGAUUCGCAAAAGAAAUGAACUUUUUAUCUGAUAUAAUUGAAGCAUAACUCAUGAAAGCAUUUUGCAUGUUCAAUAUGUAUGUUUAUCAUCAAGUAACGUGUAGUUGUUGAACAACUAACAAACAGAGCCAAAUAAAAAAAUCAUAAACAUUUCGUACAACUAGUUGCCUAAUUUUGAAAGCUUGCAAAGAUAACGCAACAACACUUAAAAGUAAUCGAUGGAAAUAUUGCAAUAUAACGAAUAAACAAAUUACGAAACAAAAUUUAACAUACUAACAUGCCACUACUUAGGACUGGAAUUUUACGUGUAUUUUACAGUACAUUUCUUAUGGACGAAGAUCGAAAUAUACGAUUUGCACGAGUCAAAGUUUAUAAUACUCCGGUCGUAAGUAGGUACAUCGCAUCUUAUUAGCAAUAUCAAUAUUUUCUAUCUGCCUAAUUUUUAUAACAACUUUCCACCAUUGGAAUUGUAUUUCCUUCUUUAUCUUACAAAGUUAACUUUUUCUUCUCUACUAUUAUAAUUACGUAUGUAUAAUAACGGCAACUGCAAUAUUGUUUACCAUAAGAAAUGCAUUGCCGUUAUAAUGAAAAUUUAGGAUAUAAAAAUACAAAAAUGUGUUUUUUAAAUUGUAAUCGAUCGUCAAUUACCUACCUGUUAAGGUAAUUAAGUUGCUUAUUUAUCUUCUAAAAUUUCUUAAAAUAAAAGCAAAAAUGUCCUAACCAAACUAAAAUCUAUUGCAACUUAACAACUCCAAAGGUGGAACUAUAAUCUAAGUGACUGCACAAUACAAAAUAACAAAAAGUUCUAAAAUUGAAUACAAGAGUCAAUUUUUGUUUAUGAAUAACAAUCCAUAAUAUUUAUUGUUUUUGUACUGUACUCCUGUUAUAUUCAGGAUAUUUCAAACAAAUUAUUAUGAUCCUAGUUUAGAGUAUUUUAACUUUGAUAUGUAAAUUGUUACAUUUUUCACAGAAAAAUAUUGUAACUACAUUUUCAAUAAAUUUAUGCCCGAUCUACAA